This 292-nucleotide ribosomal RNA is filed under the name uncultured bacterium. RNAcentral's name for it is "partial 16S ribosomal RNA". It matches the Rfam family "Bacterial small subunit ribosomal RNA", at positions 505 to 796 of the family's 1533-position model. The record is from RNAcentral.
GUGCCAGCAGCCGCGGUAAUACGGAAGGGGCUAGCGUUGUUCGGAAUCACUGGGCGUAAAGCGCGCGUAGGCGGCUUGGCAAGUGAGGCGUGAAAGUCCUGGGCUCAACCCGGGGACGGCGCUUCAGACUGCGGGGCUAGAGUCCGGAAGAGGGUGGUGGAAUUCCGAGUGUAGAGGUGAAAUUCGUAGAUAUUCGGAGGAACACCGGCGGCGAAGGCGGCCACCUGGUCCGGAACUGACGCUCAAGUGCGAAAGCGUGGGGAGCAAACAGGAUUAGAUACCCUAGUAGUCC